AUUGAACGCUGGCGGCAUGCCUUACACAUGCAAGUCGAACGGCAGCACGGGAGCAAUCCUGGUGGCGAGUGGCGAACGGGUGAGUAAUAUAUCGGAACGUGCCCAGUCGUGGGGAUAACGUAGCGAAAGCUACGCUAAUACCGCAUACUAUCUAUGGAUGAAAGCGGGGGAUCGCAAGACCUCGCGCGAUUGGAGCGGCCGAUAUCAGAUUAGGUAGUUGGUGAGGUAAAGGCUCACCAAGCCGACGAUCUGUAGCUGGUCUGAGAGGACGACCAGCCACACUGGGACUGAGACACGGCCCAGACUCCUACGGGAGGCAGGCAGUGGGAAUUUUGGACAAUGGGCGAAAGCCUGAUCCAGCAAUGCCGCGUGCAGGAAGAAGGCCUUGGU
RNAcentral lists this ribosomal RNA (390 nucleotides) under uncultured bacterium. RNAcentral describes it as "bacterial SSU rRNA". It matches the Rfam family "Bacterial small subunit ribosomal RNA", at positions 30 to 423 of the family's 1533-position model. The record is from RNAcentral.